GAAAUGCGAUACGUAAUGUGAAUUGCUUUCCGUGAAUCAUCGAAUCUUUGAACGCACAUUGCACUCUUUUGGAGUAUGCCUGUUUGAGAAUCUAUAGUAUUACUUUUUGAGUAUCAUUUUAUUAUGGUACGCAAGAGAUAUGAAGUCUCCCUUUUUUGGGUACUUUAAAAUAGAUUGCCUAGCAAUAGUAGAUAAUGUCUGACAUUUCUCACACCUAUGCAGAAAAGUAUGUGAAUGGAACUUUUGUUUCUCAUAAUGCUGAAUAUGUGUAGAGAGGAAUUUAGUUGUCUAUCAGCGCGUAGGUCCAUAACCUAUAAGCGUAGCCUUUCGGGGUGAAACUUGAACCAUGGUCUCAAAUCAGGUAGGAAGACCCGCUGAACUUAA
This 384-nucleotide unclassified non-coding RNA is filed under the name uncultured Chytridiomycota. RNAcentral describes it as "sequence contains ITS1". The stretch from base 1 to 93 matches the Rfam family "5.8S ribosomal RNA", at positions 50 to 154 of the family's 154-position model. Lineage: Eukaryota; Fungi; Chytridiomycota. The record is from RNAcentral.